Small nuclear RNA from Octodon degus (degu), 107 nucleotides. NCBI's taxonomy places the organism in Eukaryota, Metazoa, Chordata, Mammalia, Rodentia, Octodontidae. The record is from Ensembl.
AUGUAUAAUGUGCUUGCUUUUAUACUAAAAUUGGAAUUAUGUGGAGAAAAUUAGCAUGGCCCCUGAGCUAGGAUGCCAUGUAAAUUCUUACAGCCUUUCAGGUUUUA